UAUAUAUAUGUAUAUAUAUGCAUCUUUUACCUCUCAGUCCCGUUACACUGUAGAAAUAUCUAAACUAAAGUCUUUCCGGAUUGAGAAAAAGAAGAAGAUGAAGAUGGACGAAUUGAGAAGUGGGACAUGCAUGGGACUGAUGAUUCAGAAUUCAUUUAAGGGAAAAAAAAAGUUGGGUGGAUCGAAUUCACUGUUUAUGAAUUAGAAAGAAGGUGGCCAACUGCAUGCAGUGGACAAAAUUGUUGUUCCUUCCGGACAAAGGCAUCUAUCUUGCGAUCUUCAUUGUAUUACUAUUCAUCAGUACAAUAAUGCAAGCAGAAAGGCUAUCUUGAUCAUCAUUCUUUGCUUUAUUUUCUUACUCGAUCCGUUUCCUCAAU
Molecule: long non-coding RNA, 377 nt
Filed under: Fragaria vesca (wild strawberry)
Lineage: Eukaryota; Viridiplantae; Streptophyta; Magnoliopsida; Rosales; Rosaceae
Description: long non-coding RNA (FVES_LNC000488)
Source: RNAcentral